AUUGCACGCUGGCGGCAGGCCUAACACAUGCAAGUCGAACGAGUGGCGGACGGGUGAGUAAUGUCUGGGAAACUGCCCAAUGGCGGGGGAUAACUACUGGAAACGGUAGCUAAUACCGCAUACCAUCGGAUGUGCCCAUAUGGGAUUAGCUAGUAGGUGGGGUAACGGCUCACCAAGGCGACGAUCCCUAGCUGGGCUGAGAGGAUGACCAGCCACACUGGAGAUGAGACACGGUCCAGACUCCUACGGGGGGCAUCAGUGGGGAAUAUUGCACAAGGGGCGCAAGCCUGAUGCAGCCAGGCCGCGUGUAUGAAGAAGGCCUUCGGGUUGUAAAGUACUUUCAGCGAGGAGGCGUUAUUCGCAGAAGAAGCACCGGCUAACUCCGUGCCAGCAGCCGCGGUAAUUC
Molecule: ribosomal RNA, 406 nt
Filed under: uncultured bacterium
Lineage: Bacteria
Description: partial 16S ribosomal RNA
Rfam family: Bacterial small subunit ribosomal RNA
Source: RNAcentral